This 404-nucleotide ribosomal RNA is filed under the name uncultured bacterium. RNAcentral describes it as "bacterial SSU rRNA". It matches the Rfam family "Bacterial small subunit ribosomal RNA", at positions 355 to 776 of the family's 1533-position model. The record is from RNAcentral.
UGGGGAAUAUUGGACAAUGGGCGCAAGCCUGAUCCAGCCAUGCCGUGUGGAUGAUGAAGGCCCUAGGGUUGUAAAGUCCUUUUAACGGGGAAGAUAAUGACGGUACCCGUAGAAUAAGCCCCGGCUAACUUCGUGCCAGCAGCCGCGGUAAUACGAAGGGGGCUAGCGUUGCUCGGAAUUACUGGGCGUAAAGCGCACGUAGGCGGAUUUCUAAGUCAGGGGUGAAAUCCCGGAGCUCAACUCCGGAACUGCCUUUGAUACUGGAAAUCUUGAGUUCGGGAGAGGUGAGUGGAACUGCGAGUGUAGAGGUGAAAUUCGUAGAUAUUCGCAAGAACACCAGUGGCGAAGGCGGCUCACUGGCCCGAUACUGACGCUGAGGUGCGAAAGCGUGGGGAGCAAACAGG